RNAcentral lists this ribosomal RNA (406 nucleotides) under uncultured bacterium. RNAcentral's name for it is "partial 16S ribosomal RNA". It matches the Rfam family "Bacterial small subunit ribosomal RNA", at positions 30 to 526 of the family's 1533-position model. The record is from RNAcentral.
AUUGAACGCUGGCGGCAGGCCUAACACAUGCAAGUCGAACGAGCGGCGGACGGGUGAGUAAUGUCUGGGAAACUGCCCGAUGGAGGGGGAUAACUACUGGAAACGGUAGCUAAUACCGCAUACUAUCAGAUGUGCCCAGAGGGGAUUAGCUUGUUGGUGGGGUAACGGCUCACCUAGGCGACGAUCCCUAGCUGGUCUGAGAGGAUGAUCAGCCACACUGGAACUGAGACACGGUCCAGACUCCUACGGGAGGCAGCAGUGGGGAAUAUUGCACAAUGGGCGCAAGCCUGAUGCAGCCAUGCCGCGUGUAUGAAGAAGGCCUGAGGGUUGUAAAGUACUUUCAGCGGGGAGGCGUUACCCGCAGAAGAAGCACCGGCUAACUCCGUGCCAGCAGCCGCGGUAAUAC